RNAcentral lists this ribosomal RNA (497 nucleotides) under uncultured bacterium. RNAcentral's name for it is "partial 16S ribosomal RNA". It matches the Rfam family "Bacterial small subunit ribosomal RNA", at positions 28 to 507 of the family's 1533-position model. The record is from RNAcentral.
GAUGAACGCUGGCGGCGUGCCUAAUACAUGCAAGUCGAGCGAACGGACGAGAAGCUUGCUUCUCUGAUGUUAGCGGCGGACGGGUGAGUAACACGUGGAUAACCUACCUAUAAGACUGGGAUAACUUCGGGAAACCGGAGCUAAUACCGGAUGAUAUUUUGAACCGCAUGGUUCAAAAGUGAAAGACGGUCUUGCUGUCACUUAUAGAUGGAUCCGCGCUGCAUUAGCUAGUUGGUAAGGUAACGGCUUACCAAGGCAAGGAUGCAUAGCCGACCUGAGAGGGUGAUCGGCCACACUGGAACUGAGACACGGUCCAGACUCCUACGGGAGGCAGCAGUAGGGAAUCUUCCGCAAUGGGCGAAAGCCUGACGGAGCAACGCCGCGUGAGUGAUGAAGGUCUUCGGAUCGUAAAACUCUGUUAUUAGGGAAGAACAUAUGUGUAAGUAACUGUGCACAUCUUGACGGUACCUAAUCAGAAAGCCACGGCUAACUACGUG